GUGCUCACUUUGGCAGUACAUAUGUUAAAACUGGAAUAUUAAAAUAUUAGCAUGGGCUCUGUGCAAUGAUGACGUGCAAAUUUGUGAAGCAUUCCAUAUUUUU
Molecule: small nuclear RNA, 103 nt
Filed under: Phascolarctos cinereus (koala)
Lineage: Eukaryota; Metazoa; Chordata; Mammalia; Diprotodontia; Phascolarctidae
Source: RNAcentral